UACGUAGGGUGCAAGCGUUGUCCGGAAUUAUUGGGCGUAAAGAGCUCGUAGGCGGUUUGUCGCGUCGAAUGUGAAAACCCGGGGCUCAACCCCGGGCCUGCAUUCGAUACGGGCAGACUAGAGUUCGGUAGGGGAGUCUGGAAUUCCUGGUGUAGCGGUGAAAUGCGCAGAUAUCUGGAGGAACACCGGUGGCGAAGGCGGCAUCCUGGACCGACACUGACGCUGAGGAGCGAAAGCCAGGGGAGCAAACGGG
This 253-nucleotide ribosomal RNA is filed under the name uncultured bacterium. RNAcentral's name for it is "partial 16S ribosomal RNA". It matches the Rfam family "Bacterial small subunit ribosomal RNA", at positions 524 to 776 of the family's 1533-position model. The record is from RNAcentral.